This 622-nucleotide ribosomal RNA is filed under the name uncultured bacterium. RNAcentral describes it as "bacterial SSU rRNA". It matches the Rfam family "Bacterial small subunit ribosomal RNA", at positions 47 to 659 of the family's 1533-position model. The record is from RNAcentral.
CCUAACACAUGCAAGUCGAACGGUAACAGGAAGAAGCUUGCUUCUUUGCUGACGAGUGGCGGACGGGUGAGUAAUGUCUGGGAAACUGCCUGAUGGAGGGGGAUAACUACUGGAAACGGUAGCUAAUACCGCAUAACGUCGCAAAACCAAAGAGGGGGACCUUCGGGCCUCUUGCCAUCGGAUGUGCCCAGAUGGGAUUAGCUAGUAGGUGGGGUAACGGCUCACCUAGGCGACGAUCCCUAGCUGGUCUGAGAGGAUGACCAGCCACACUGGAACUGAGACACGGUCCAGACUCCUACGGGAGGCAGCAGUGGGGAAUAUUGCACAAUGGGCGCAAGCCUGAUGCAGCCAUGCCGCGUGUAUGAAGAAGGCCUUCGGGUUGUAAAGACUUUCAGCGGGGAGGAAGGGAGUAAAGUUAAUACCUUUGCUCAUUGACGUUACCCGCAGAAGAAGCACCGGCUAACUCCGUGCCAGCAGCCGCGGUAAUACGGAGGGUGCAAGCGUUAAUCGGAAUUACUGGGCGUAAAGCGCACGCAGGCGGUUUGUUAAGUCAGAUGUGAAAUCCCCGGGCUCAACCUGGGAACUGCAUCUGAUACUGGCAAGCUUGAGUCUCGUAGAGGGG